Pimephales promelas (fathead minnow) is the source of this 504-nucleotide non-coding RNA. NCBI's taxonomy places the organism in Eukaryota, Metazoa, Chordata, Actinopteri, Cypriniformes, Leuciscidae. The record is from RefSeq and is a predicted model, not a curated record.
UUCAUAUUGACAGCAUUAUGUUAUUUAUAGUUUAAGUGUUGUGUUUAUCUCUGGAUAUAGGCUUAAUGUGUGUCAUUGUUCUCUUCAGGUUGAGGAAGUGUAAAGUCACAGAUGAAGGUUGUGUUGCUCUGGCUUCAGCUCUGAUAUUAAACCCCUCACACCUGAGACAUCUGGAUCUGUCAGAUAAUAAACUAGGAGACUCAGGAGUGAAGCAGCUGAAGGAUCUGAGGGAUGAUCCACAUUAUAAACUGGAGAAACUGGGGUUAUAGAUGACAGUCUGAUGUUCCGCUGAUCAUCUGAUGGUGAAUAAGGAUCCACUACAGAGACUCACAGUCAACAGAAUCAACAGAGACUGAAGAUACAGUGACUUCACUGUUAGAAAUUAAGACUUCAUUUAGAUUUCAACCAUCCUCUGACAGACCUGAUGAGGCGGCAGUGAAACACCUUUUAUUUCACAGCAAAUUACACUUUCUCAUUCAUAGAUUAACCAUUUUAUUUGUAUAA